GCAGAAAGGAGAGAGAGGCCGACUGCUCAGGCUAAACUCAGACUUACCUUCCUGAUUUCCUGGGCAUUUGCGGAGAGAUGGAAGCACCGUUUGUCCCGUGGAUAGCCUUGCUCGCAUCUGCUAGCCUGGGUUUGUGAGGGUAUGUGAGGAACAGACCCAGGAACCUCGGCUGCAAGCUUCUUAGCCCCUCGGAAUGUCAGAGUCUGGUAAAAGAGACAGAUUGCCACCACCAAACCCACCAAGAAAGGUCGGGGGCAAAAUCGCCGGCGACAAAGGAACCCCGGUCGACAGACCAUGACCAGUCCACCUUCACUUGGCCCCUGGCCACGCUGUCAGCAUGGAAAAAGUACACAUCUGUCUUCUUUUUGCACAACUCCAAUCAAAUUCGCCCCAACUCCCCUUGAGAACAUUCCGAAGGUUCAUGCCAAAGACUCACACAGGUCCCAGCGGUCCGAGGUGUUUAGAGCCCUUUCGUGAAGGACAGUAAAAAGUGACCGACUUGCUUAUUCUUUUUUUAAGAUGUCAAAAUAAUGAGAGUCGUAAAGAAAUCAUCCGAAUGCAUCCCGGGCUGCCAGAAUUUUUUUUCCCAUGACUGCUGAUCAAAAUCUCUUGGAAGGAAACACCCAGGCGUAGGACUCCACCUCAUUUCACUCACACGCACGGACACACACGCGCAGACACGCGGAGACACGCGCGCGCCAGCUGCCCACAGGGCCGAGAGCCGGGGGACCUGGGCCAUCGCUGCCACCCAGGCCGAGCGGGGCGGAGCUAAGCCCAGGACUCCUCUGGCCUUGGGGGCAGUCCGAGCCGCGCUGUCAGCUCUGCAGCAGCAAACGAAUCCAACGGAGAAGACAGCCAAUAAAAUAAUACUGGGAAAAAAGAAGGAGUUAGUUAGUCAGAACAAGAAUGUGGCAAAGAAAACAUAGGGCCAAAUGGGAUGAGAGUCCAGGACCACUCAGGCAUUAGAGGAGACCCACUGUGGACAGAAAUCAUCAUGUUCACCGUUUACCAGCUGUUCUGAAAGAGGAGUUUGGAAUAGCGAAGUCCAGUCUAUCACCUGUGAGAUGACCUCUUUGGAAGUAUCGUUGACCAGAGGACAGAGACACUCACUGAAAAUACGAGUGAACACGCGGGACAAGGCAAGAGGAUACAUCCGGAAACCACCUUUCUUUGGAAGACGGGAAAAAGUCACCAGACCGCACUUUUAUAGACAGGCUCCAGGCUUUUACCUGAUUACAGAUGCAAUAUCGCGGUUCAUUUGGGUCAUAUGUCCAGUCAACCUGACUGUUGGAAUCAGAUUCGGGCACUACUGUUGUUUGCUGGGAGACUUCUUGGACUACAGUUGAAGAUGAUGAACAUAAAGAUAAGGACGAAGAGGAGGAGGAGGAGGAGGACUGCUGGCUUGAAGACUUGGUGUUGUUUCUGGAAAAAAAUUAGAGAAAGAUCAGUUUUAUUUGCUCAUUACAAAAGGUCCCCUAAGAGUGACUCCUAGUAAUUGACAUGAAAGGAAAGGACGCAUCAAUGCCUGAUGCUAAAGAAUCUCAUUCAGAAGCAAUUUCCCAGAACAAAGAAAAGCAACAUUGUUUUCAAUAGUUAUUUACAAGUUUUGAUUUCUGGAGAAUAAAAGUAUUGAGAAGAAAAUUCUUUAAAAAAAAUCUAUUUAGAGUAAAUAAAAGAAAAUUCUUUUAAAAUGUUUUCAACUUGUAAAAAUAAUUUCUAAAUUAGUUACUAUCUACUAUUGACUUAAAACUUCUGUAGUAUUCAAAAAUAAUAGCUAUACUAUCUCACAUUAUAUUUUUACAGUAAACCAAACAAUUCUCAUUAAAACCUUAAAUACAAAUAUACAAAGUAUAUUUGUAAACACAAAUAUACAAAGUAGGUGAUGAAAUCCUUCUAACAUCAGGGGCAUGUGCUCUAUGCCUACUAAGUAUAGAAUACGGAGCUAAGAGUGUCAAAAUUCAUGAAUUUACCACCAACUCUAUUCUGGAGUUCUAAAACACAGUAACUUAUUAUAAGGAGUUCAAUUAAAUUUGGGCAAUUGUAUCAAUUUUUAAGAUAUGUAAUAUUUCUGUGGAUAUUUUACAUUGAUCAUUCUUUCAAGAAUUUUGUAGAGUAAUACAUUUGAAAAUAAAAUUAAAAUACAA
Long non-coding RNA from Arvicola amphibius (Eurasian water vole), 2144 nucleotides. RefSeq lists it as uncharacterized. The transcript is spliced from 5 exons. The record is from RefSeq and is a predicted model, not a curated record. NCBI's taxonomy places the organism in Eukaryota, Metazoa, Chordata, Mammalia, Rodentia, Cricetidae.